Molecule: ribosomal RNA, 253 nt
Filed under: uncultured bacterium
Lineage: Bacteria
Description: partial 16S ribosomal RNA
Rfam family: Bacterial small subunit ribosomal RNA
Source: RNAcentral
UACGUAGGGUGCGAGCGUUAAUCGGAAUUACUGGGCGUAAAGCGUGCGCAGGCGGUUUUGUAAGCCAGAUGUGAAAUCCCCGGGCUUAACCUGGGAAUGGCAUUUGGGACUGCAAGGCUGGAGUGCGGCAGAGGAGACUGGAAUUCCUGGUGUAGCAGUGAAAUGCGUAGAUAUCAGGAGGAACACCAGAGGCGAAGGCGGAUCGCUGGGCCAACACUGACGCUGAGACGCGAAAGCUAGGGUAGCAAACGGG